AACAGGAUUAGAUACCCUGGUAGUCCACGCCGUAAACGAUGUCGACUUGGAGGCUGUUCCCUUGAGGAGUGGCUUCCGGAGCUAACGCGUUAAGUCGACCGCCUGGGGAGUACGGCCGCAAGGUUAAAACUCAAAUGAAUUGACGGGGGCCCGCACAAGCGGUGGAGCAUGUGGUUUAAUUCGAUGCAACGCGAAGAACCUUACCUGGCCUUGACAUCCACGGAACUUGGCAGAGAUGCCUUGGUGCCUUCGGGAACCGUGAGACAGGUGCUGCAUGGCUGUCGUCAGCUCGUGUUGUGAAAUGUUGGGUUAAGUCCCGCAACGAGCGCAACCCUUAUCCUUUGUUGCCAGCGAUUCGGUCGGGAACUCAAAGGAGACUGCCGGUGAUAAACCGGAGGAAGGUGGGGAUGACGUCAAGUCAUCAUGGCCCUUACGGCCAGGGCUACACACGUGCUACAAUGGCGCAUACAAAGAGAAGCGACCUCGCGAGAGCAAGCGGACCUCAUAAAGUGCGUCGUAGUCCGGAUCGGAGUCUGCAACUCGACUCCGUGAAGUCGGAAUCGCUAGUAAUCGUGGAUCAGAACGCCACGGUGAAUACGUUCCCGGGCCUUGUACACACCGCCCGUCACACCAUGGGAGUGGGUUGCAAAAGAAGUAGGUAGCUUAACCUUCGGGAGGGCGCUUACCACUUUGUGAUUCAUGACUGGGGUGAAGUCGUAACAAGGUAGC
RNAcentral lists this ribosomal RNA (729 nucleotides) under uncultured bacterium. Its description in RNAcentral is "bacterial SSU rRNA". It matches the Rfam family "Bacterial small subunit ribosomal RNA", at positions 771 to 1500 of the family's 1533-position model. The record is from RNAcentral.